Micropterus dolomieu (smallmouth bass) is the source of this 2240-nucleotide RNA transcript. It is a transcript of the gene named pro-opiomelanocortin-like, with no coding region annotated. The transcript has 5 exons. The record is from RefSeq and is a predicted model, not a curated record. Lineage: Eukaryota; Metazoa; Chordata; Actinopteri; Centrarchiformes; Centrarchidae.
UUACUAUCCUGGAACCGGGCUUCGUCGAACCUCAGCUCUUGGAGUAAACGGUGGUACUCGCCGAGAUGUUUCCUCGCCCACAGAAUGUCAUGAACCCACAUACGGUGUAGCCAUGACGUGCAACCAGUGAGUCAGGCCUUCCUAAUGAAGUUUCCACACAGGGAUACAUGCACACCUUGUAAACGAGAACUGGCGAAAAACGAUCCAAUCAGUCCAAUUGAUUUUGCACACUUCACUCCGGCUAAAGGAUGCUGAUCUCAGUGAUUAGGACUGACCUUUGGGGGAUUUGGAACCAGGAUUGACAGGGGUCCAGUGAUGAGCUGCAGUUGCUUUUAUCAGUGUAUGAUAUUGUAAGCAAGCACUCAAAAAAUAUACUUGACAGCAGUCAAACAUCCCAAUAAUCAAGGCUUAAAGGCUCUUGAGAAUGCAACCCCAAGAGGAAGAGGAGGGCAGCAAGUUAACAACUAGUUUCCUAAUGCUUCACCUGUUGUCCGGUGACGUGAGCUGCACCAUUGAUUAAAAGUGCGUGGGUGGUCUUUAUACCAGCCACAUACACAAACACACACUCCCCAUUCAGAAAGGAGCAGGAGACCCUUUACCUCAAUCACACCCUGAGGCCUUGAGACUCCGAGCUCCAUACCUUACGCGUCUAUAAAAAGAGCUUUCCUCCGCUAAAGAAGAACCAGCAGACCCUCUCCUACUGAGCAUUUCAUCACAGAGCAGAGAGAGAGCAGAAGAGGAGGAGAGGGAUCACAGAUAAGAGUCGUCACUCUGGAAGAUCUGUGGACAAACGGAGGGAGUAAAGCAAGAAGAGAGGAAAAGAAAGAAUUUGGAAAAGCUUAUAGCAUCACUUGUGUUUCUGUCCUCCACACCUGGCUGAAGAUGGUGUGUCUAUGUUGGCUGUUAGUGGUGGUGAUGGCAUACGUGUGUGUCCCCGGGUUCGGGUCGGUGUGCUGGGACAGCUCCUUCUGCAACAACCUGAGCAACAAGGGAAGGAUACUGGACUGUAUUCAGCUCUGCAUGUCUGUGAUCCAGACUGAAUUUCCAGAGCUUAGCUCAUUGGCCCUGAAGGUUAAUGAUAAGGAUGACCUCUUACUCAGGAUCCUUCCAGCCACCCUGGUCUCUGAAGGCAAAAUAUCAACAUCAGAUCUGAAAGCCCACAGCGACCAGCGACGCUCCUAUUCAAUGGAGCAUUUCCGCUGGGGCAAGCCCUCAGGCCGUAAACGCCGGCCUAUAAAAGUUUUUGCCUCUUCUCUGGAGGGAGGGGGCUCUUCCGAGGGCAGUGUACUCCCUCGGGGUCGCAGACAGCUGAGCAGUAAGGAAGAUGAAGCAAAGGUGGACCUGAAUGGAGGGCUGACAAGGUUCAUCUCUAAGUCACAUGUCCCUCUAAGCCCACAGCAGAGAAAAGAUGGGACCUAUAAGAUGAGUCACUUCAGAUGGGGGAGCCCAACUGUGUCUAAACGUAAUGGCAGCUUUAUGAAGUCGUGGGAGAAGAAAUCUCAGAGGCAGCUGGCUAGGCUCUUCAGGAACAUUAUAGUCACGGAUGUGCAAGGAUAAUGGGCUGAAUGGAGGAUGGAGAAGAAGGGGAGGGCAAGGUAGCUGAGAGAGUCAAAUAGCUAUUGCAUGUUAGUACCAACAGGUCUUAAUUUUAACUUAUCACUAUUAUUAGCAUGUUGUUGAAUGUCUUUUCUGGGCCAAAGGUUUGUCUCAAUAAAAUCUUAACUAAAGAUAAGAAGCAAGGCAGUUUUCUGUUGAAUAAAAACAACAAACCCAAAGACUGCCUUGACCUUCUUGGUCUACUGGAAAGCUUUCUAAGGAUAUUUUUUUUCUUUUAGGAAACAUCAUUAUUGCUCCACAUGUUUUGUAAAAGGAAGUAAACCGAGAAUGUCAUUCCAGGGCAAGAGACAACAUGAACUAUAAGGAUUAUUAUCAGUGACGCCAGACACCUGAUGAAGGCCACGGGAUGCAGCUGAAAGCUCCAGAAAUAAACAUUUUCUAUUAAAUGGACAGUGUGUAAAGAACUGUAUUGUACAGUACAAUAUUACUGGUGACAGAUGAAGAAGGAUAAUGACUUAUGACUUAUACAGUAUACAGGGAGUAAACUAAAUAUUAUGUUGAAGAUGAGACUGUAAUAAUUACACUGUAACAAAUGUGAUAUUAGAUUUGUGGUAGUAUUUCUCAGCUUGAAAAUAUGCCUGGAAAGCAGCCCUUGAUGUGAGUGACUUGAUGAGUUGUCAAAU